AUUGAACGCUGGCGGAAUGCUUUACACAUGCAAGUCGAACGGCAGCGCGGGGCAACCUGGCGGCGAGUGGCGAACGGGUGAGUAAUAUAUCGGAACGUACCCAAGAGUGGGGGAUAACGUAGCGAAAGUUACGCUAAUACCGCAUACGAUCUAUGGAUGUAAGCAGGGGACCUUCGGGCCUUGUGCUCCUGGAGCGGCCG
RNAcentral lists this ribosomal RNA (200 nucleotides) under uncultured bacterium. RNAcentral's name for it is "partial 16S ribosomal RNA". It matches the Rfam family "Bacterial small subunit ribosomal RNA", at positions 30 to 232 of the family's 1533-position model. The record is from RNAcentral.